CUUGGGGACCAUAGCGAGAUGGAACCACCUGAUCCCAUUCCGAACUCAGUAGUGAAACGUCUCAGCGCCGAUGGUAGUGUGGCAGGUGCCAUGUGAGAGUAGGUCAUCUCCAAGC
Molecule: ribosomal RNA, 115 nt
Filed under: Hydrogenovibrio marinus
Lineage: Bacteria; Pseudomonadati; Pseudomonadota; Gammaproteobacteria; Thiotrichales; Piscirickettsiaceae
Also listed under: 1 other name
Source: RNAcentral